Long non-coding RNA from Triticum aestivum (bread wheat), 190 nucleotides. RefSeq lists it as uncharacterized. The transcript is spliced from 3 exons. NCBI's taxonomy places the organism in Eukaryota, Viridiplantae, Streptophyta, Magnoliopsida, Poales, Poaceae. The record is from RefSeq and is a predicted model, not a curated record.
GACCUUGCUCCACUGCUGUGGCACUACUUUGGCACUGUUGCUGCACUGCUCCAGGAGAUUGUGUCAAUUUACCCUUCACUUUCACCUCCUACUUUGUCGCCAGUUGCAUCAAACCGUGUCUGCAAUGCACUUGCACUUCUUCAGUGUGUUGCUUCACACCCUGAGACCAGGAUCCCGUUCUUGAAUGGUA